RNAcentral lists this transfer RNA (540 nucleotides) under uncultured cyanobacterium. RNAcentral's name for it is "partial 16S-23S ribosomal RNA intergenic spacer". The stretch from base 210 to 282 matches the Rfam family "tRNA". Lineage: Bacteria; Bacillati; Cyanobacteriota. The record is from RNAcentral.
CAGGGAGACAACAAAAUGUUAAAUAUUAAUUUUGUCACCUUAGGUCGAUCGGUAUCUCACAUUCUUAAUUUAUUAAGGAUUUUAUUUCCUAAGUUUUUCUAGGUCACACCCAUUACUUUUCCUGGGCCAUUAGCUCAGGUGGUUAGAGCGCACCCCUGAUAAGGGUGAGGUCCCUGGUUCAAGUCCAGGAUGGCCCAUAUCUCUAUGUUGGGGGUAUAGCUCAGUUGGUAGAGCGCCUGCUUUGCAAGCAGGAUGUCAGCGGUUCGAGUCCGCUUACCUCCACUGAUUACCACCUCUUCCAUAAUUCAUAGAAGGGAAAUUUUUGAGUUGUGAUCAAAUUCUGAACGAAUCUAGCUUCCUAAUAAUCUUAUUAAGAUGCUGGACUCAUUGAAUUUUUUUCAUUGUUUUCAGAGAACCUUGACAACGGCAUAGAUUAUUUUUAAAGACAAUAAGCAUCUUUAAUGAUGCAGAUUUAUUAUUUGUGCGAAUGCAUCAAAUAACAAUUCUAUUAAGCUGAUGCUUCAAAUCUUUGAAGUUAUU